GUUGGUUCCAAGACCGCUGGCAAUCGACCUCCGAGGCUCCCCCCCCAACACGUGCCUAGCCCUGAUGACCGAGUGCUUCAUUGGGUCCGCGGAUCCCAACUCUGCAGGCUGACCGAUGCCACCAACCCUUUUCGAUGCCUUGGUCCAAACUUCUCCCUCUCUGAUGACAUUGGACCUUGUUUGCGGUGCCAAUCAACUUCCGACCUGAAGCUCUGCACAUCUUUGACCUCUAACAGCACCAC
Molecule: long non-coding RNA, 242 nt
Filed under: Elaeis guineensis (African oil palm)
Lineage: Eukaryota; Viridiplantae; Streptophyta; Magnoliopsida; Arecales; Arecaceae
Description: long non-coding RNA (EGUI_LNC021614)
Source: RNAcentral